RNAcentral lists this ribosomal RNA (483 nucleotides) under uncultured bacterium. Its description in RNAcentral is "partial 16S ribosomal RNA". It matches the Rfam family "Bacterial small subunit ribosomal RNA", at positions 28 to 523 of the family's 1533-position model. The record is from RNAcentral.
GACGAACGCUGGCGGCGUGCUUAACACAUGCAAGUCGAACGAUGAAGCCGGAGCUUGCUCCGGUGGAUUAGUGGCGAACGGGUGAGUAACACGUGAGCAAUCUGCCCUUGACUCUGGGAUAACUGCGGGAAACUGUAGCUAAUACCGGAUACGACACCUUGGGGCAUCCCAGGGUGUGGAAAGAAUUUCGGUCAAGGAUGAGCUCGCGGCCUAUCAGCUGGUUGGUGAGGUAAUGGCUCGCCAAGGCGACGACGGGUAGCCGGCCUGAGAGGGUGACCGGCCACACUGGAGCUGAGACACGGUCCAGACUCCUACGGGAGGCAGCAGUGGGGAAUAUUGCACAAUGGGCGAAAGCCUGAUGCAGCAACGCCGCGUGAGGGAUGAAGGCCUUCGGGUUGUAAACCUCUUUUAGCAGGGAAGAAGCGAAAGUGACGGUACCUGCAGAAGAAGCACCGGCUAACUACGUGCCAGCCGCCGCAGUAA